ACAGUGUUCAUCCCGCGACUACAGAGAAAUCGCUCAAAAUCUACCGAUCACUGUGAGUCACCGACGCCAUUGGAAGUAUUUGAUUCCAGUUUAUUUCUUUUUCUCGCCACUGCUCGGAUCUCUCCACUUCCCUAGUGGCAUACAAUGGAAUGAACUAUGGACCAAAUGGAGUUGGAGCGAAGUAUCAGAAAAAUCGGGUUCAGAACAAGGUCUACUAUGAUCUUCACACAUUUUGACUAAACUUUUUUCUAGUCGUGUUGCAGCCAAAAUGUUGGUUUGGAAUUUUUAUGCUUAAAUAAAUGCCUUGUUGGUAUAUAUGGUCUCUGAACUUAAUUACAAAAUAUUAUUGUCAUUUACGAAGAGGUAGGAAAAAUGUGGCUCUAAAGACGUCUCUUUUCACCACUGAUAAAAAUUUCCUAUAACAGGGUUUUGAGACUAGCCUUUUUGGUUUUCAUUCCAUCUUUAAGUCGUAGUCGUUAAUAUAAUUUUAUAAAUUGCUAGCUAUCAUUCUUAUAAAUUUUAUGGUCUCAUUAUUUUCACAAAUGGACCUUUUGUUUAUGAUAGUGACUAAAGAAUAUUAAUUCCCAUUGCCACCAUUUAUCUAGUCUAGUUUCUCUAUAAAUUGAUCUAUGAUGUCUUGUGGCUAACCUUCGGCUAUGGUUUUGAGUCACAUUGUCAUGGUUUUUAUUUUUCUUUUUAGUUGCCGUUAGUUAAAUAACGUAGAUGCAUAUUCUUCCAUUACUUGAAAUUGGAUUGGUUCAUGAAGUCUAAGCUGCACAAGUAGUGGAGUCAAAAGCACAAGUGGCCAUGACUUGGGACUACUCAGUCUCACAGACUAAAAUAAAGCAUGUCGUAUGUAGCAAUCCGGUAUUCGCUGACCAUGUUACAAGGUACAAAUCUGAUCCAAAUGCUUGCUUGCCAACAGAAGAUCACCAUGAUUGUGGGAUGUCUUCAAUAUGGGUCGAAUAUUUUGUACUAUUUUAAUAAGUUAUUUUUGGAGUAGUAAUAGAUACUUUUGGUAUAUUGAUAUCGACUUUUUGACUAGGUUAAUGAUGUUUUUAGUAAUCAUUUAGAUUAACUCUACAUUUUGGAAUAUUAUAUUUGAUUGCACUUAAUAUUUUUAUUCAUUGAAAACAUG
Olea europaea var. sylvestris is the source of this 1138-nucleotide long non-coding RNA. RefSeq lists it as uncharacterized. NCBI's taxonomy places the organism in Eukaryota, Viridiplantae, Streptophyta, Magnoliopsida, Lamiales, Oleaceae. The transcript has 3 exons. The record is from RefSeq and is a predicted model, not a curated record.